UUAAAGUCAUGGGACUAGAUCAAGUCACUUGGAUGAAGAAGCCGGAGGCUGGGGUGACGUCUGAUAUGUUAGGUUUUUAUUUUCAUUUAUAUUAAAAUAUUUUCUUAUUUCCCUUGUGAUUUCUUUUUUCUUUUUUCUUUUUUUUUUGGCACAGGAUUAUUGUGAAAAGUGUUUUUUAAUGCCGCCAUAUUUGGGGAUGUGAGAGCUAUCUUUGUGUAAUUGAUUUCUAAUAUAUUUCUAUUAUGUUCAGAGAGCAUACCCUAAAUAAUUUAAAUCCCUUUUCUCUCAGAUUUGUUGAGCCUCACUCAGUGGUCCCGUGUAUAGCUGAUCUUGACAAACAUUUCGUGUGUGCUUGAAAGAAAUGUGUAUUUUGUGCAGUUUGGGGUUUUAAGUUCUACGAAUGUCAAUUACAGCAAGUUGGUUGGUAACAUUAUUCACAUCUCCUGUACCCUCAGUAACUUUUUAAAAAAAUUAACUUCAUUUUUUAGAGAAGUUUUAGAUUUACAGAAAAACUGCAAAUAUAGGACAGAGGAGUUCCCAUAUGCCCCACACCCAAUUUCCCUCAAAAUUAACAUCUCACAUGGGGAUGGUACUUUUAUUACCAUCAUGAAUCUGUAUGCUUUAUUCAGAUUUCCUUAGUUUUUACCUGAUAUGCCUAUUCUGUUCCAGGAUCUCACCCACAAUCCCACAUGACAUUUAGUCAUUCCCUUGUUUUUGAUGACCUUGACAGUUUUGAGAUAUUCUGUAGAAUGUCCCGCUAAGGGAUUUGUCUGAUGUGCUUGUUAUGAUCAGAUGGGGGCUAGGGGUUUGGAGAAGGAAGACCAGAGGUCAAGUGCCAUUCUUUACUGCUUCAUGUCAGAGACAUGUGAUCAACAUGACUCACGCCCGUCGAUGCUGAUGAUCAAUCACCAGGCUGAGGAGAUAAUUUGUCGGUUUAACGGAGCAUCCUGCGUUUUAUCGGGUAACGCUCUCCAGCCACCUUCCUGGCCUCUGCCAGAUGUCCACGUGGAACAUCAGGGGUCCACCUGAGCUCUCAGCCCAUCGCCGUGAGUUUUUUCGCUCGUGGGAAAUAAGCUGGCUUCAGUAAUGGCCCAGGAUCCUUUGGAAUUUGCCUGACAGAAUCUUGGCUCGUGCUCUGUGAUUGUCCAGCGCGGCCGGUCCUGCCAUCUGCUUUGGAGAGAUUCUCCUCUCACGUUAAAGGGCAAUUUCCCUGUCGCUUGGAGGUUUGAGUCAUCUUGGAGUCACAGUAAAAUUCAAAGGAAAGUACAGAGAUUUCCCAUAUACCAUCUGCCCCCCACUCACGCACAGCAUCCCCCACCACCAACAUCCCCCACCGAGUGAGACAUUUGUUAUAGGUGAUAAACUGAUGGUGACAUGUCAUUAUCACCCAAAGCCCAUGGUUUAAGCCAGGCUUCCCUCCUGGUGUUGUACAUUCUAUGGGUUUGGGCAAAUGUAUAAUGGCAGGUAUCCAUCAGUUUUUUUCACUGCCCUAAAAAUCUUGGCCAUUUUAAUAGGUGUGUAGUAACACCGCAUUGCUGUUUUAAUUUGUAUUUCUCUGGUGAUAUAUGAUGUGGGGCAUCUUUUCAUAUGUGUCUUUGCCAUUGGAAUUUCUUCUUUGGUGAGGUGUCUGUUAAUAAAGUUUUGGCCCAUAUUUAAGUCGGGUUGUUUUCUUAUUGUUGAGUUUUAAGAGUUCUGUGUAAAGUUUGGAUAAUAGUACU
Mirounga angustirostris (Northern elephant seal) is the source of this 1718-nucleotide long non-coding RNA. RefSeq lists it as uncharacterized. The record is from RefSeq and is a predicted model, not a curated record. Lineage: Eukaryota; Metazoa; Chordata; Mammalia; Carnivora; Phocidae. The transcript is spliced from 3 exons.